UAUAUAUACAAGUUACUAUAGUAGAAACAAAAAUAACAACUUGUGCCUUAAUUGAUACAGGAAGUGAUAUAACCAUUUUUAAAAAUUUCUUAAUAAAAUCAUGGAAUAAAAAUAGUAAAAUAAAAAUAACAGAAGUGACUGGAGAAAGCACUCAAAUAAUUGAUAGUGUUGAAAAAGUUAAUAUAAUACUUGGUAGUAAACAAGUUAUAAUAAAUAAAAGUAUAUAAUUAUAAUAAAUUAGAAUGUGAUAUAUUAUUAGGAAAUGAUUUUAUCCAACAAUUUCAAUAUUAUAAACAAAAUAAUUACAUGAUAAUGUUACAAACACCUUGUGCACAUCUAUUAAAAAUACCAAGAGAAUUUAGACCCUACAGAGUUCAGCCAGUCCAGCGUGGUGAUAAAUGGAAAAAACGACCAAUAGUACAAGAUGAACUAAAAAAUAAAAAAACUAUCAUAU
Molecule: long non-coding RNA, 454 nt
Filed under: Olea europaea (common olive)
Lineage: Eukaryota; Viridiplantae; Streptophyta; Magnoliopsida; Lamiales; Oleaceae
Description: long non-coding RNA (OEUR_LNC002050)
Source: RNAcentral